Molecule: ribosomal RNA, 434 nt
Filed under: uncultured Clostridium sp.
Lineage: Bacteria; Bacillati; Bacillota; Clostridia; Eubacteriales; Clostridiaceae
Description: partial 16S ribosomal RNA
Rfam family: Bacterial small subunit ribosomal RNA
Source: RNAcentral
ACGGAAGGCAGCAGUGGGGAAUAUUGCACAAUGGGCGAAAGCCUGAUGCAGCGACGCCGCGUGAGUGAAGAAGUAUCUCGGUAUGUAAAGCUCUAUCAGCAGGGAAGAAAAUGACGGUACCUGACUAAGAAGCCCCGGCUAACUACGUGCCAGCAGCCGCGGUAAUACGUAGGGGGCAAGCGUUAUCCGGAUUUACUGGGUGUAAAGGGAGCGUAGACGGAAUAGCAAGUUUGAAGUGAAAUACCUGUGCUUAACGCAGGAAUUGCUUUGAAAACUGUUAAUCUAGAGUACUGGAGGGGUAUGGGGAAUUUCUAGUGUAGUAGUGAAAUGCGUAGAUAUUAGGAAGAACACCGGAGGCGAAGGCGCCAUACUGGACAGAUACUGACGUUGAGGCUCGAAAGCGUGGGGAGCAAACAGGAUUAGAUACCCUGGUA